This 1426-nucleotide long non-coding RNA is filed under the name Androctonus crassicauda. The record is from RNAcentral. Lineage: Eukaryota; Metazoa; Arthropoda; Arachnida; Scorpiones; Buthidae.
CAUAAUUCGAAAAUCACAGUCGUGUAUGAACAGUGGAUGUAAGAUGUCAUUCUCACCUUAAAAGAGUACACUGCUUUGGAUGAGAAAGCACUGUCCAUACUCCGCCCCCUGAGGAUUCUGGUAAUGUUGUUGUUGUAAUAAAAGGAAAUGGGUUUUAAAAUGUUGUACAGCAACAUCCUAAAACCCAAAAAGUUCAGAACCCUCGCCCAGGUUGGCUAAAGAAGGCGCCAGGGCUAAUGCUUGCGCACGCAUUCACUUAGGUACUUGCGCAGACGCUUGCGAUCACGCUCGCGCAGACGCUUUCCUUCACGUUCGAGCCUACGUCUUUCCCUUUGCUCACGUUUCGCUGGCGAAGACGCCAGUGGUAAUUCCUUACCCAGAUGGGCAGAGGCUCGUUGUCAACUGGAUUCUCGAAGAACCGCACAUCGAUGUUUUCCGAGAAGUGUACGUACCGGUCACUUGGGUUGGGCCGCACAGCCACCGGCGGAUCCACUAAGGUCACAUACCAUGUGGCUGACGACGACACCACUGGUGCCGGCACUUCUUUCGUCGACUCCGCUGAAGCUCUUCUUCCUAAACAAAGCUGUCGAAACCAUCCAAAACACUGAAGAAAAGAAAGUAACGUUAGGCCAUUAAAUGAAGUUGAAAUUUGCAAAUUGAUUCAUAAAUUAAUCUGCACUAAAUUUUAGGCUCGGAUCAAGUUUAUUCUAUUGUGAUAUAUUGUAUUUAAAUUUUUUCGAUGUACUGGUAUCAAUUAAUCGAAGUAUAAACGAAGAUUUAAAUUUGUUAGUAAUGUUUUGAUAUGCUAUCCAAACAUAUGAGAUAUAUGAGUUCCAUUUGCAAAUAAAAUUGCUAGAAUUCAGACAUACAUGUUAGACAGACAUACGUGGUGAUCAGGAAAUAAGUAUUCUUAAUGAUGGUAUAUUAGGUCGAGGUAUAAUAAUCAAAUAUAACAACAAUUUCACUGCGCAAUUUAAUAACAACAUUACCCGGUGGAACAAAUGUAAAUUUUGAAGAGGAGAUACACGACUCACACCCAGUGAAAUAAGAUUGCCUGUGCUAAAAACAGGGAAAGGGAAAGAAUAGAAAUUAAAGAAAGGAUAAAAAUUUUGCUUUCAGCCUAUCAGUAGUGUUCUGACAGCAGAAGGAAGAAUGGAAACAGAAUUAAUGAUAAUAGCAGAAUUAGUAAUAGCACUAGCGAUUCAGAUAUUAUAUAUAUCGAAAGAAGAGUAUAUUUAACAGAAGAUAAAAUCAUAUCUUUAGAUAAGAAAUUAUAGCAUUGGUGAAUGUAACAGAGAUCAGAUAGAAAAACUGAACAGGCGUGAACCAGGUACAUUCAGAAACUCUGAAUGUACAGUCCCGUGCAAAAAGUUUGUCAGGUUACAGGAAAAUGUUCGGCUAUCCAGCAAUACGCACAAGUAUCGGC